UCUCAUCUCAAUGUGGAUUGGCUGUUCUCCACCUGUCUUCAAACUCUCAAACUCAGGAAGUGAUAACAAGGAGAGCCAGCUGCGGGCUGGGCUGGCAGUGAGGAGGAAGUCAUGGGGUCUGAGAAAGGGAAAUUUGAAGCCGGAAAAUAGAAACUUCAGGUGGGGCUUCUCUUCAAAUGCAGUUUCUGCCUUCUUUCUUUUUGCAAACUUACCCUGUGUCUGCCCGUGGACAUGGGCAGUGACAGCGGAUGCCUGACGGCGUGGAGGCCCAGACCCUUGUCCCGAGGGGCUCAGGACCUUGCCCUGGGCUAACUGGCAGAACGGAAGAGAAUGGUAUUUCUUGCACACCCAGCUGGACUGACCUACAACUUUUAGUGGCUAUACGGCAACCUAUUUUCCAUCAGGGGGAGUUCCUGAGCCGGCCCCGCCUCUGGUGCUCGUAGUUGUAAUGAUGCUGUGACGAACCUCUUUGUGCUCAGAGCUUUUCCUGUGCUAAGGAUUACUUCCUGAGAGGAAGUUCUCAGGAAUGGAGUUACUUGACCGGGGGAGAUCAACAUGUCCCAACGUCCUCUCACAGCACAGGAGUCAAUGCAAAAUUAAAGGGAAAGAGAGACUCUGUCCUUUUACUCUGCUCUGGGCUCAGUUUCUCCAGCUGUAAACUGAGCAGGUCAGAUUAGACCCUGAAGCUUCCCUCACAGAUUGGAAGUUCUGUUGAUGGCCGGGGAAUGAG
This 730-nucleotide long non-coding RNA is filed under the name Equus caballus (horse). RNAcentral's name for it is "lncRNA (ENSECAG00000053863.1)". The record is from RNAcentral. Lineage: Eukaryota; Metazoa; Chordata; Mammalia; Perissodactyla; Equidae.